AUUCUGUUAAAAAUUCGAGCGGUGGUUUGCCAACACUAUGCCAUUAACGGACAUGAUCAUAGUUAUUGUGUCAAGAAGGCUUACCCGUGUUUUCAAUAGACGUAGCGAUUCUCCUUUGUUUUUCCUUAUUCUUUCUCCAAAUGUUUAGGUAGAAUUUUCACUUUUCAGAACUUUUAGGACAAAAAUAUUUCAUUUUCGUUCUUUCAUAUUUAACUCAUCUUGUGCCAACUGGGAAAACAAUUUGCCGACUGGAAGACUAGAAGAAAACUAUUUGCCGACUGAUUGACGAGUGAAAGCGGUGACUCCCUCCCCCCCACACACACACACACACCGUCUAGCACCGCCCUUGCUUGAAGUUCCAUUUCCCUCUUUUCGUCUCCCGGUGUCUUAUUUCUUUGUCAAAACAUUUGGGAAUGCGACUAUAUUUCUACGUCUAUUACUGCUAAAAUGUCAAACUAUAUAUAUUAUUAGCUAAUAUCUCAGCAAUUGCAAAUUGUCGAUUUCACGAUGUUAGGAGUCCUAAUCCGCUAUUCCGCUGUUUUGGUAAUAUGGACUGGAUAGAUUCCUUGUGUUCAGGUAUGACACAUCUACGGAACAACCCGUAUAAAAGAACUAAAAAGUAACAAUAUAAUUUUAAAACAACAACAACAAUAACAAUAACAAUAACAAUAACAA
Paramuricea clavata is the source of this 675-nucleotide non-coding RNA. Lineage: Eukaryota; Metazoa; Cnidaria; Anthozoa; Malacalcyonacea; Plexauridae. The record is from the annotation of a GenBank genome assembly.